UAGCUAUUUCAUCAGAGGAUUGUUCCUAUUAAAUACUCGAACCUUAUUGAAUAUAUGUCUAUUAAACAUAAAAAGCUGACAUGGCAAAAAAAUGUAUUCCAAACUUGUCUUAAGCGCGUGAGAAGUUCAAACAUUUCCUUUCUUUGUUAAACAAAAAUCCUUUUCUAAAAUUCACCAUUAACGUCACCAUACCACCACUGUUUUGCCAUUGCCGCCACUACAAAAGAUCUACUACAUCAUCCAUAUCUACCGCACCAUUGUCACAAUCCGCCUCCCUUUCACCAUGGAUCAACUUUACGCCACCACCAUCUUCUUACCGAACCCAAGAACCCAAUCCGGCCACCAUGAAAGCCCCUAGAGCCACCGCACAACCCCUUCUUACCAAAAACAUUUUUUCCCUUCAUCUCCAUCACGGCAUGCCACCAACGAACCCCUCCAUUAGCUCACUCCACACCGUCGAACAACCCACACGACCACACUAUUUCAAUGUUCUGUUACCGCUGCCGCCACAACAAAUUCAGCCGCCAUCGAAAUCCGAUCACCACAACACCUCUAACCAUCUUACAUUUUCUCUUCUCUUCAAAUUACCACAAUGAGAGUAGAGGGAAUAAGAAAGGAAUUUUCUAAAAAUAGAAAAAGAAAGGGAGGGUACUGGGUGGUAGAAGAAGAAAGGGAAGAUGGGAGGAAGGAUAAAAGGUUUUAUGAAACUGGACGAAGAAAGGGAGGAUGGCGAGGGCGGCUUGCUGCAACGCCGGUGCCGGCGCACGCGACGGCAGUUUUCAAUAGAUUUUUUCUUUUUCUUUUUUUUUU
This 810-nucleotide long non-coding RNA is filed under the name Nicotiana benthamiana. RNAcentral describes it as "long non-coding RNA (NBEN_LNC028313)". Lineage: Eukaryota; Viridiplantae; Streptophyta; Magnoliopsida; Solanales; Solanaceae. The record is from RNAcentral.